This is a long non-coding RNA of Populus euphratica (Euphrates poplar), 940 nucleotides long. RefSeq lists it as uncharacterized. The record is from RefSeq and is a predicted model, not a curated record. The transcript has 2 exons. Lineage: Eukaryota; Viridiplantae; Streptophyta; Magnoliopsida; Malpighiales; Salicaceae.
UCCAUGUUUUAUUUCCAGAAGCUACAAGCUUUUUAAAAAUCAUAUUCACAGCUGAAAGUGAUAGCAAAACUUUUCCAAAAGGGCCUUUAUUCUGCAAAGCAAAUAUUCUAUGAAUUUAAUUAAAUGAAAAGUUACUCUCAGAGGGCAUGGCAAACUACGUGAUAAAUACACCUCGACAAAAGGCACCGGCAGUAUAAUUGAAUGGAAGAGCCAGCCCUCACUGCAUGAGCACAAAAAAACAAAACACUCAUUGCCACAUGCAGAAUGACGUGUAUCUGUCCAGGUAAUCAUGGGAUGGUAGAAAUUUCAUAUUGCAUCCUUGAACUUUAAGUUUGCUGCCUAAACAAUGUCAAAACUUAGGUACUUUUUUAAUCACUGAUCCGGUUUUAAAAAAUGCCAUCGACAUGAAACGUGGCGUGCUGUGAUGUGUUGUCACCAGGUCGGCUGGCCGUUCAGAUGUCGUGCUCUCCUGAUAAAUAGACCGCUGGUUUUUCACGGCUAGCAAGUCCCAAAUUACUUUUCAACGCACCUCUUGACACCAUCCGCGUCAAAUACAUAUAUAUACCAUUGUUCUCAAAAGGAAGAGUACACGAGAGAUUUCUUUUUGAACUAUACAUCCCCUUCAAGUUACGAUGUCACCGACCAUAAGGGCUUGCGUGCAAGAUUAACAGAGCAAAAACGACGUAUUCUUCAAUGAUUAAAAACAGAAAAGAAAAUUAAUGCCUCCUAGCUGCAUGCAUGCAGGCAUCCACCACUAAAAGCAGCAGGCAAAAAUAAUCAAACUAGGUGUAGAUGGUACGAAUUUUACAUUAUAGAUUGGAAGGAAAAUAAAAUACUACCAGCUCUCUCUAGAUAUACAAAUACUACUACCCCAGUCGCAGUCAUAUCAGCACUCAAUGGGGAAUCAAAUUCCUAGCCUUUUCACAUGGGAGGAAAGAAA